CAGCAGCCGCGGUAAUACAGAGGGUGCAAGCGUUAAUCGGAAUUACUGGGCGUAAAGCGCGCGUAGGUGGUUUGUUAAGUUGGAUGUGAAAUCCCCGGGCUCAACCUGGGAACUGCAUCCAAAACUGGCAAGCUAGAGUAUGGUAGAUGGUGGUGGAAUUUCCUGUGUAGCGGUGAAAUGCGUAGAUAUAGGAAGGAACACCAGUGGCGAAGGCGACCACCUGGACUGAUACUGACACUGAGGUGCGAAAGCGUGGGGAGCAAACAGGAUUAGAUACCCCUGUAGUCCCUGUCUCUUAUAC
Molecule: ribosomal RNA, 301 nt
Filed under: uncultured bacterium
Lineage: Bacteria
Description: partial 16S ribosomal RNA
Rfam family: Bacterial small subunit ribosomal RNA
Source: RNAcentral